RNAcentral lists this ribosomal RNA (492 nucleotides) under uncultured bacterium. Its description in RNAcentral is "partial 16S ribosomal RNA". It matches the Rfam family "Bacterial small subunit ribosomal RNA", at positions 29 to 507 of the family's 1533-position model. The record is from RNAcentral.
AGUGAACGCUGGCGGUAGGCCUAACACAUGCAAGUCGAACGGCAGCACAGUAAGAGCUUGCUCUUACGGGUGGCGAGUGGCGGACGGGUGAGGAAUACAUCGGAAUCUACUUUUUCGUGGGGGAUAACGUAGGGAAACUUACGCUAAUACCGCAUACGACCUACGUGUGAAAGCAGGGGAUCUUCGGACCUUUCGCGAUUGAAUGAGCCGAUGUCGGAUUAGCUAGUUGGCGGGGUAAAGGCCCACCAAGGCGACGAUCCGUAGCUGGUCUGAGAGGAUGAUCAGCCACACUGGAACUGAGACACGGUCCAGACUCCUACGGGAGGCAGCAGUGGGGAAUAUUGGACAAUGGGCGCAAGCCUGAUCCAGCAAUACCGCGUGGGUGAAGAAGGCCUUCGGGUUGUAAAGCCAUUUUGUUGGGAAAGAAAAGCAGCAGGUUAAUACCCCGCUGUUCUGACGGUACCCAAAGAAUAAGCACCGGCUAACUUCGUG